Cydia pomonella (codling moth) is the source of this 6611-nucleotide long non-coding RNA. RefSeq lists it as uncharacterized. Lineage: Eukaryota; Metazoa; Arthropoda; Insecta; Lepidoptera; Tortricidae. The transcript is spliced from 2 exons. The record is from RefSeq and is a predicted model, not a curated record.
CGGGGUUUCUAUUUGAACUAUUCGUUUCUAUUUGUAAUUCAAAAUUAAGUAAAGGAUUUUUAUUAAUAUAAUGUGUCGGCUAAAAAAUACCCGUUAUUUAUGCACCUAUGACCGUUUACUCAUGUUUAUUCAAUGUAACAAUUUUUACAGAAUUUAUUUGGCACACUGAAGUCCCUCCGCUCCAAAAAAAGGGUCCUCUGACCGCCGCCGAAAAGAAAAGGCGAUAUCGAGAAAAGCUUAAAAAGGAAAAUCCGGUUAAAUAUGAAAUGGAUAGAAAAAGGAAUUUGGAAAGGAUAAAAAUGAAACCAAAAAUUAAAAUAGCAGACCUAAGCGAAACCGAAAAGGAGAAACUCAGAAAAAUUUGGAGAGAGAGAAAGAUGAAACAAAAACUAAACAAAACAUUACAGAAAUUGAAUAAUAUUUAGAAAAGAGGAAUGUAGUAUCAGGAACAUACUUUGAUAUUUCUCGGUAUACGGAUCAGUCAAUCAUUCUGAAGGCCGUGCCGCUUAGAUUGCCCUAUUUUUAGAAUUUAACUGGUACACUGAAGUCCCACAACUUCAAAAAAAGGGUCCUCUGACCGCCGCCGAUAAGCAAAGACGAUAUCGAGAAAAGCUUAAAAAUGAUCCAGUUAGAUAUGAAAUGAUUAAAAAAAAGAAUUUAGAAAGGACAAAAAUGAAACAAAUUAAAAUAGCAGACAUGAGUGAAUUAGAAAAAGAGAAACGCAGAAAAUAUUGGAGAGAAAGAAAGAUGAGACAAAAACAUAACUCAUUGCAGCAAAUGAAUACUAGUGUCAUAUUUAGAAAAAAAUAACCUUAUAGUCCAGGAACAUAUUUUGAUUCAUCUCAGUAAUAUGAAAUAUAGGAUUAAUCAAUCUCUCUGGAGACCGUGCCGCUAGAUUACCAAAUUUUUGUUUUCUAACUUUCUAUUCAGAAUUUUUACUUUUACUCAUACAACUGAAUUAGCUAUAUAGCUAUAUUUUGCAGAAAUAACUUAUUUAGACAGAAAUAUCAGCUGCUGAAUGGCAAAGACAAUAUCGAGGAAAUGACCCGAUUAUUUGAUUUAAUAAGAACAACCCAGAACGUAGAAAGGUUGACUUUGUACCGAUUAUCAAAAAGGUAGCCCAACAUAAGCAAAUCAGAUAGGAAAACGAAGGCGAUUUUGGAGAGAAAAAUUAAACAAAAACAAAGGAAAAUUUGGUCUUACUAGAGAAGCCAACACAUAUUAUCAUAAAAGUAAAAUCAAACAGAUAUGAGCGAAUAAUCAAAACGAGACGAAAAAUAAACACUGAAAAGAAAUUAACUAAAAACUAAGCAACCCUUGAGACCGUUGCAUAAGAAAAUCUGUAAUGUUUCAAUUGUCAUGUUAAACGCGUUUUGAAAUAUAUUGUCACUCAUGAUUCAUUUUUAUGUUUGAUUAUAAGAUCCUCAUUUAGUCCUGCAUGAAACGGGGAGUGAAGCUUCAAUUAAAAUAGGCGAAGAUGUUUAUUGAGUAUAAGUACGGAUAUCUAAUUGUUUAAACCUGUAUAGAUCAUCUGACCUCGAUAGUUUUUAAUUUGUGUAGAUGUAGUUAUAGAAAUUAAAGAUAAAACAUUUAAUUAAUUAAUUAUUGUUGAAACUACAGUAUUUUUCAAACUCGAUUGGUGACAGGUGUCAUCUCCAUAUAAUUUAUAACCUGAAAUUGAAAAAUCUCGCAAAAUAGUAUUGAAAGUCAACCUGUGAGCGUACCCAUCGAGUUUGAAAAGUACCUACUAUAAUCAAAUAUGCUAUGGAAAAGACAUAUAGUUAUCUGCUGCUAGUUUUCUUAAUAUUAAAUCAUUUGAUCAAGAUAACGAUGAUAGCGAUUAUGUUUUGGUCAGCGGACAGGUCACUGACAUACUUGUUUACUGUUCGAAGAGAUCCUCAAUUCAUCAUAAUAAGGAAGGAAUCUUAAUUCAUUUACCAUAUUUCAGGAUUAAUAACGCUGCACAGCGGGAAACAGGUGUAUUUAUACGACGGCUUCUCGUAUUAUGAGCAGCGCAAAAUCGCCGAAGGCGUGCGUUGGUAUUGCACCAGCAACAAUAGGCAUCGCUGCAGAUCCUUUCUCAUCCUGGAUUACAGUUUCAACGUCCUCAGGGCCAAUAUAAAUCACACCCAUCCACCGCCUGUGUAUCAAAGGGUUAGCAGUGGAAAAUAUAUUAAAGUUAGCAAAUUGAAUUACUCAAAUUACCUGUAUAACUCAUUUUCAUAACUUAUAUUAGAAACACCUCUUGAAGACUUAAGGCGCCUUGAGUUCAGGUGCUUGUCUCACUCUCACUGAGCGUGAGCGGUAUCGCGGUUUUGAAGUGUUAUUUUUAGUGAGUUUAAAAAAAACAGUAAUCGGUGAGUUCAAUCAAAAAUAAAAUGUUUUUAGCUUUUGUGCAAAAAUUAUGUAACAAAUUUUUAAUGGUACAUUUCAGACCGACAUUUUUGUUUUUUUUUUUAUAUCUAGCAAACGGUUUUAAAUUAGGUUUCGUAUCGAUGAGGUUACUAGGAAGGCCUUAAGAUUGUUAUUCAUAUUUUUUGUAUAGCCGUAUCGCCAAGACGAGCAAAGCGAAGCGCAGGGGCACUACCUACCUUUUCUCAAAGCGCUUCAUCGUUUUAUUUUGAAUCCUCAUAACUUGUGUUUGUAUUAUGCCAGAUAAUAAGUUGAAGUUUGUAUGGGGAAUCAGUAAAAAAAAGAGAUUGUAUAUAAGAUGCCCCCAAAUACGCAUUUCAGGUUUUUUAAUAGUAAAUCACCCCCGACGCUUUAAAUUAUUGAAUGGAAGAUUGUCAUAAGCAACUUACAAAAAGAAGUGAAAUCCCUUCAAAAACAUUUUCAUGUAAAAUGUUGCCAAGGCGAAAUCAUAAUGCUCGCACUCAAAAAGUUAUCAGAGCCAAGCUUCUAACUCUACAAGCCCUAACUUCACAAACUCACCUUUGUCAAAAUAUGUGGCUUGGCCUUUCGUUACCACAAGAAGUAUUGUAUAAUAAAAAAUAAUGAAUAGUGAAUACAUUUUUCACCUAACGCCGAUAUGAGCGUGACGUUAACGAAACGGCCAAGCCAUAUAUUUAGACUAAGGUGUAGAAUUUGUGAAGUGAGGGCUUGUAGAGUGAGAAGCUUGACUCUACAAGAGAUCUGAUAACUUUAUGAAUAACAAGGAAAAUUAAUUGUGAACAAAUAUGUUUACGAAAGGCACAUUAGCAUAUAAAAAUUGGCAAAACUUCAAAACGUUAAACUGUACACAAAGCGAUUAAUAAUAUGGUCCGAACUCCUGAGUUAUUCUGAGUUAACAUUCAAGGAUAAGUCUAAAAAGGGCGAAAGCGUUGGAUAACUCAAAAAUGUAUUUAAAAAUACGGAAAUAUUUUGAGAGCAAUCCCAGUAUGUCCAUCAGAGAUGUGGCUAAAAAGUAUAAAAACUUCAUUCUGAAUGAUUCCAAGGGCUAAAAAACACUAUAACUUAAAAACAUAUUUAAUACAAAAAAAAACGUAGUCUAAAACAAGCUGCUUCAAUAAAACCAAGGCUCCGCAAACUGUAUAAUAGCUUUCUUACGAAGAAUAAACGUACGUAAAAUUGGGCUACAAAACACUGCCGGGACCCCAAUUUUACACCUAACUGAGAGGACAGGAUCUCGCAGAAACCGUUAAGGCGAUCUUUGUGGAAAAGUAGUCUUUGGUUCCAAUGGCAAGCUAUUUGCGAAUGCGGGAUGAAGUCGACUCCAUUUAUUACGAGCUCUCAACUAUGAAAACCGUACUUACAUUAAAGCGUGACUACUUAAACGUUUUUACCCACGAUCCGAAAGCAGGAGGUAUACUGUUUUGGCCCGACUUGGCAUCCUGCCACUACACUAAGAAAACCAGAGAGAGAAUGAAAACUAACAGCGUUCAAUUCGUGCCAAAGAAUAUGAAUCCACCAAACUGCCCUGAAGUCCGUCCCAUUGAAACAAAAUUCACAGCAUCAGAUUCAAUUAAAGUUUCAAAAAAUAUUGGGCAAAGGCUACAAAGAUGGUGUCAAAUAGAAAUAAGGUUGUCAAAGAAGGUAACUCAAUAAGAAGCGUUCCAGGAUGAAUAAGAAAAAUAAUUAAUGGAUAUCUUAUGUUGUUAUGUUCUUUGGUAAUUUCUGCUAGAAAGCUUUUCAAUGCUGAUUCCGUUUUUUUUCGAAAAAUACAUAUUUCAUAUAAUACUGCAUUAUCAUUUGUUAACUGAAACAAAACAAGACUUGAUAAAAAAAAAUCCCCUAUGAACGUUCAAGUUUAUUCAUGUGUUGUUUCGUUCAAAAAAUGAAACGACUUAACUAUAUUCAAACAUUUUUUACGGAAUUUAUGUGGUACACUGAAGUCCCGGCCCUUCAAAAAGGGUCCUCUGACCGCUGCUGAAAGGCAAAGACGUUACCGAGAAAGGAAAACAUUGGAAUGGAUAAAAAUGAAACAAAAAAUUUAAAUAACGGACAUGAGCGAAUCAGAAAAAGAGAAACUCAGAAAAUAUUGGAGAGAGAGAAAGACAAAAACUACAUACAUCAUUGCAGCAAAUGAAUACUGGUUUCAUAGUUAGAAUAUAGGAUUGUGUCAUUGUAAAUAUAUUAAAACGUGUCACUUACGUAUAAGUUGAAGAACGUUCGACAUGUCUCACUCCGUACCGAGAAGAAUCGUCAGGAGAUCGCGUUGGUGGACCAGCUCAGACUGUGGGCCGCAGGCCUCCACGUCCGAUGAUUCGGCGCGGGCGCCGAAGGUGGCAGGGGAGAAGAGAAACUACCCUCGUUUAGGACAUUAUUGUCAAAUAAUGGGGUUGCACACAACACUCACUACAUCAUUCGCUAAUGGUUCGUCCACACUAUCCAUCGACGUCCACAGUACCCAAAAAAGAUUAUCAGCUCGGAGGCACAACCAACCACAAUCACGGUUAAAAUUUGAAUGGCGACUAAUUUCGAUAGCCUUCCGUACUUUUCGCCGAAUCACAAAUUUUUAUUUCGUCAGUUCGGUUACUUUAUCCAAACGUGUAGUGAGUCGAAUCCGAAUCCAAUAUGUGUUCCGUCACCGCAGAGCACCGGCUGCGGCUAUAUUUUUGACAACCGUAUUAUAAUGUAAAAAAACGCUACGAUUUUUCAAAAACUGCUGACUGGACCUACGGCACCUGAAGCAUGGUUGCAAAGAUUUUCCGGACGAAGUUGAGGCUGUAUAUAGUUAAGUGAUAUGAUAUGUUGUCUUAUAAUGUACGUAAACAUGAACAUAUGUUAUAAAAUGAAGUAAUGUGAACAUGAAGUAAAAUAGAAAUUUCUUCAAAUACUGCAUUGUCAUUCGUGUACUGGAAUAAUCCACAUUUAAUGAAACCAGCAAUGGAAAAAAAGGAUGCUUCAUUGAAAAAUUUAUAAUGUUUUAGGUUCAUUCAUAGAAUUACAAAACGGCAAGCGGAUUUACCUAUACGAUGGCUUUUCAUAUUACGAACACGGCAAAGUUGCCAGGGGAUCUCGCUGGUACUGCACAAACAACAGCAACCACCGCUGCAGGUCCUACCUGCACUUAGACUACGAUGCCAACAUUACCAGGGCCAACAUUAACCACACACAUCUACCUCCCACGUAUCAUAUGACUAAUAAUGGAAAAUAUAUUAAAGUUAGAUAGAUCAGUAGCUUAUACUUCAAGAGUAACCCAACGUGGUAUUGUUUUUCUUAGAAAAUCUCAAGUUUUAAAAAAUGACUUUAGUUACGAGUAAUUUAUUUAUAACUUAAUAAAUAUAAACCCACUGAAGAAAUGAUGAUUAAUGUCAUUUAUUUAUUUAUUGUACUGUCCUUGUAAAUAAAAUUGAUUAACUAAAAAUAUAUUAAUUCCAAUUAGGUACCUUUUUAUAUUCAAAGAAUGUAACUUAUAAGUUAAUAUAAAAAAAAUAAUAGAAACAAAUCCCUUAUUCACUUCAGGUUUGUAUUUAUUCCUAUAAAUCAUAAUCGGAGUAACAAUGCCAUUAAAAUGAUAUGGUGUAAAUAUCAUUUCCAGAAAAACUUAGUGGACCUUUAUCUGCUGCUGAAAGGCAGCGACUAUGCAGAUUAAGACGAAAGCUACAUAACCCUGACAGAUACAAUGAGAUAAAGAAAAAGGAUAGAGAGAGAUACCAUCACAAGAAGCGUUUAGUGAAAGACAUGACGCCCUUUGAGCAUUAUUUGGCCAAAACAAAAUGGUGCAUAGAUAAUGACAAGAGGAGGAAUCGACAACAAGAUUCAUCUGACUCCCACGUAUCGUAAGAUCAAUAAUGGCAAAUAUAUCAAAAUAGAUAGAUUAGUAUCAGAGUAGAGUAGAGUAGUAGUUUAGCGGCAUUAUGCUGCUCCAUUUAAGCGUCCGAUGUUUUAUGGAUGCAUGUCUACUUUUCCUCUUCUUUGUGUAUAAGUUGUGACGUUUUUUUUUUUCUUUUUUUGUUUAAUAGCUUAUACUUGGAGAAUAAGAGCAAAAACACAAUUUGCUUCCCAGAAAAUCUCAAGUUUUGAACAAUGGGUUUAGUUAAAAGUUUAUUAAAUACUAAAUCAAAUCUACUGGCGGAAUGAUGAUUGACGUGAUCUAGAAUUAGUCAUUUUUUUUACUGUCGUUGUAAAUUAAUUUAAUUAUAAUUUAUAAGUAAAUUAAAAUAAAUCCA